RNAcentral lists this non-coding RNA (26 nucleotides) under Homo sapiens (human). Lineage: Eukaryota; Metazoa; Chordata; Mammalia; Primates; Hominidae. The record is from RNAcentral.
CUCAGGAGCAUCUGGUGAGCCAGGUC